This 897-nucleotide ribosomal RNA is filed under the name uncultured Acidobacteriota bacterium. Its description in RNAcentral is "bacterial SSU rRNA". It matches the Rfam family "Bacterial small subunit ribosomal RNA", at positions 58 to 990 of the family's 1533-position model. The record is from RNAcentral. Lineage: Bacteria; Pseudomonadati; Acidobacteriota.
CAAGUCGAACGAGAAAGUCCGCAAGGAUGAGUAAAGUGGCGUACGGGUGAGUAACACGUGGAUAACCUGCCCUUUAGUGGGGAAUACCGCUGGGAAACCGGCGACAAUACCGCAUAAGCUCGAGAGAGGAAAGCAGCAAUGCGCUGAAGGAGGGGUCCGCGGCCGAUUAGCUAGUUGGCAGGGUAAAAGCCUACCAAGGCUGCGAUCGGUAGCCGGCCUGAGGGGGCACACGGCCACACUGGCACUGAAACACGGGCCAGACUCCUACGGGAGGCAGCAGUGGGGAAUCUUGCACAAUGGGGGAAACCCUGAUGCAGCGACGCCGCGUGAGCGAUGAAGCCCUUCGGGGUGUAAAGCUCUUUCGGCAGGGACGAUUAUGACGGUACCUGCAGAAGCAGCUGCGGCUAACUACGUGCCAGCAGCCGCGGUAAUACGUAGGCAGCAAGCGUUGUUCGGAGUUACUGGGCGUAAAGGGUGCGUAGGCGGCUUCUUAAGUCUGGUGUGAAAUCUCCCGGCUCAACUGGGAGGGUGCGCCGGAUACUGAGGGGCUAGAGUGUGGGAGAGGAAAGUGGAAUUCCUGGUGUAGCGGUGAAAUGCGUAGAUAUCAGGAGGAACACCGGUGGUGUAAACGGCUUUCUGGACCAUUACUGACGCUGAUGCACGAAAGCGUGGGUAGCAAACAGGAUUAGAUACCCUGGUAGUCCACGCCCUAAACGAUGCAUAUUUGGUGUGGGCCAUUCAUUUGGUCCGUGCCGGAGCUAACGCGUUAAAUAUGCCGCCUGGGGAGUACAGUCGCAAGGCUGAAACUCAAAGGAAUUGACGGGGGCCCGCACAAGCGGUGGAGCAUGUGGUUUAAUUCGACGCAACGCGAAGAACCUUACCUGGGCUCGAAAUGCU